Molecule: microRNA precursor, 94 nt
Filed under: Canis lupus familiaris (dog)
Lineage: Eukaryota; Metazoa; Chordata; Mammalia; Carnivora; Canidae
Also listed under: 1 other name
Description: mir-8799 microRNA precursor family
Rfam family: mir-8799 microRNA precursor family
Source: Rfam by way of RNAcentral
GGGGGGAGCGCCGGAUCCUGGGUUGUGUCCCCGGCACCCUGGGCUCUGGGGCCUGCACCACUGUAAUCGUCCUCUGGGGGGCCGGCAGCCCCCU